RNAcentral lists this ribosomal RNA (253 nucleotides) under uncultured bacterium. Its description in RNAcentral is "partial 16S ribosomal RNA". It matches the Rfam family "Bacterial small subunit ribosomal RNA", at positions 524 to 776 of the family's 1533-position model. The record is from RNAcentral.
UACGUAGGGUGCAAGCGUUGUCCGGAAUUAUUGGGCGUAAAGAGCUCGUAGGCGGUUUGUCGCGUCUGGUGUGAAAAUCCAGGGCUUAACCCUGGACCUGCAUCGGGUACGGGCAGACUAGAGUGCGGUAGGGGAGAUCGGAAUUCCUGGUGUAGCGGUGAAAUGCGCAGAUAUCAGGAGGAACACCGGUGGCGAAGGCGGAUCUCUGGGCCGUAACUGACGCUGAGGAGCGAAAGCGUGGGGAGCGAACGGG